RNAcentral lists this ribosomal RNA (497 nucleotides) under uncultured bacterium. RNAcentral describes it as "partial 16S ribosomal RNA". It matches the Rfam family "Bacterial small subunit ribosomal RNA", at positions 28 to 507 of the family's 1533-position model. The record is from RNAcentral.
GAUGAACGCUGGCGGCGUGCCUAAUACAUGCAAGUCGAGCGAACGGACGAGAAGCUUGCUUCUCUGAUGUUAGCGGCGGACGGGUGAGUAACACGUGGCUAACCUACCUAUAAGACUGGGAUAACUUCGGGAAACCGGAGCUAAUACCGGAUAAUAUUUUGAACCGCAUGGUUCAAAAGUGAAAGACGGUCUUGCUGUCACUUAUAGAUGGAUCCGCGCUGCAUUAGCUAGUUGGUAAGGUAACGGCUUACCAAGGCAACGAUGCAUAGCCCACCUGAGAGGGUGAUCGGCCACACUGGAACUGAGACACGGUCCAGACUCCUACGGGAGGCAGCAGUAGGGAAUCUUCCGCAAUGGGCGAAAGCCUGACGGAGCAACGCCGCGUGAGUGAUGAAGGUCUUCGGAUCGUAAAACUCUGUUAUUAGGGAAGAACAUAUGUGUAAGUAACUGUGCACAUCUUGACGGUACCUAAUCAGAAAGCCACGGCUAACUACGUG